GAUGAACGCUAGCGGCAGGCUUAAUACAUGCAAGUCGAGGGGCAACAGGGGUAGCAAUACCUGCUGGCGACCGGCAAACGGGUGUGGAACACGUACAGAACCUUCCUCUGAGUGGGGGAUAGCCCGGAGAAAUCCGGAUUAAUACCCCAUAGUAUUAUUGUGUGGCAUCACAUAAUAAUUAAAGAUUUAUUGCUUAGAGAUGGCUGUGCGGCUGAUUAGGUAGUUGGCGGGGAAAGCCCACCAAGCCGGCGAUCAGUAACUGGUGUGAGAGCACGACCAGUCACACGGGCACUGAGACACGGGCCCGACUCCUACGGGAGGCAGCAGUAAGGAAUAUUGGUCAAUGGACGCAAGUCUG
RNAcentral lists this ribosomal RNA (358 nucleotides) under uncultured bacterium. Its description in RNAcentral is "bacterial SSU rRNA". It matches the Rfam family "Bacterial small subunit ribosomal RNA", at positions 28 to 385 of the family's 1533-position model. The record is from RNAcentral.